RNAcentral lists this ribosomal RNA (468 nucleotides) under uncultured bacterium. RNAcentral describes it as "partial 16S ribosomal RNA". It matches the Rfam family "Bacterial small subunit ribosomal RNA", at positions 28 to 507 of the family's 1533-position model. The record is from RNAcentral.
GACGAACGCUGGCGGCGUGCUUAACACAUGCAAGUCGAACGGAAAGGCCCUGCUUUUGUGGGGUGCUCGAGUGGCGAACGGGUGAGUAACACGUGAGUAACCUGCCCUUGACUUUGGGAUAACUUCAGGAAACUGGGGCUAAUACCGGAUAGGAGCUCCUGCUGCAUGGUGGGGGUUGGAAAGUUUCGGCGGUUGGGGAUGGACUCGCGGCUUAUCAGCUUGUUGGGGGGGUAGUGGCUUACCAAGGCUUUGACGGGUAGCCGGCCUGAGAGGGUGACCGGCCACAUUGGGACUGAGGUACGGCCCAGACUCCUACGGGAGGCAGCAGUGGGGAAUAUUGCACAAUGGGCGGAAGCCUGAUGCAGCAACGCCGCGUGCGGGAUGCCGGCCUUCGGGUUGUAAACCGCUUUCGCCUGUGACGAAGCGUGAGUGACGGUAAUGGGUAAAGAAGCACCGGCUAACUACGUG